GGCAAGCGCGAAGGGGCUGACUUGGUGGCGAGCCAGCCCGCCUUGUGUCGGAGAAGGGUUCUUCGGGCAACUUUCCUUUCCGGGUGUUCUGAAGCGGUUUUCCUGUAAUCCUCAGUGAGGAAACCCACCGUGAAUCGGAUUGCCGUUCAGUCCCACGGAAGCCUGGCUCGUUGGCCAUGUCGGGGACGCAUGUUCAUUAAGUUCAUUAAAAUAAUUUCAUUUGUCUUGGCUGGAGCUACUCGGCCAGGGUUUAAGACUUUAAAUGAGAAUAAAGGGUGGUAUUUACGAGGAAAUGAGAGUGAAUAAGUCAUCUCUAACCUCUCCCAGCCUUUUUUUCAUAAGAGAGACCAUAUUAAACUUACAUGGGUCGUGAUUCCAAAUUCUUCAGCAGAAGGCUGAGAUUGGCAGAGAUGAGGAGGCCUGGAUUAUAGUUCUGCUUCUGCUACCUCAGCUGUGUGACGUGUUACUUAACAUCUCUGGACUUGGGCCAGGUGCGGUGGCUCACGCCUGUAAUCCCAGCACUUUAG
This 527-nucleotide long non-coding RNA is filed under the name Pan troglodytes (chimpanzee). RNAcentral describes it as "long non-coding RNA NONPTRT005549". The record is from RNAcentral. Lineage: Eukaryota; Metazoa; Chordata; Mammalia; Primates; Hominidae.